RNAcentral lists this ribosomal RNA (536 nucleotides) under uncultured bacterium. RNAcentral describes it as "bacterial SSU rRNA". It matches the Rfam family "Bacterial small subunit ribosomal RNA", at positions 335 to 864 of the family's 1533-position model. The record is from RNAcentral.
CACCUACGGGUGGCUGCAGUCGAGAAUCUUUCACAAUGGGGGCAACCCUGAUGGAGGGACGCCGCGUGGAGGAUAAGGUCUUAGGAUUGUAAACUCCUGUCAUGUGUGAACAAGGUUGCAGGGAUAACACCUUUGCAAUUUGAUGGUAACACAAGAGGAAGAGACGGCUAACUCUGUGCCAGCAGCCGCGGUAAUACAGAGGUCUCAAGCGUUGUUCGGAAUCACUGGGCGUAAAGGGUGCGUAGGUGGCGUGGCAAGUCAGAUGUGAAAGCCCGGGGCUCAACCUCGGAACAGCAUCCGAUACUGCCGUGCUAGAGUACUGAAGAGGUGACUAGAAUUCUCGGUGUAGCAGUGAAAUGCGUAGAUAUCGAGAGGAAUACCAAAGGCGAAGGCAGGUCACUGGGCAGUUACUGACACUGAGGCACGAAGGCCAGGGGAGCAAACGGGAUUAGAUACCCCGGUAGUCCUGGCAGUAAACGGUGCACAUUUGGUGUGGGCGCAAUCGACCGCGUCCGCGCCGGAGCUAACGCGUUAAA